Molecule: long non-coding RNA, 3547 nt
Organism: Thunnus maccoyii (southern bluefin tuna)
Lineage: Eukaryota; Metazoa; Chordata; Actinopteri; Scombriformes; Scombridae
Exons: 7
Source: RefSeq, a predicted model, not a curated record
UAUUUUAAUGUUAUGACGUUGAUUUUUGAUGCAACUCUACCUCCGUUAUGUGUCUUGUUUACAUGUGUAUGCCUGCCCUGUGUUUAUCUGUUUUUACUAUUGUUAACAGUCUUUGUCCUAACAUCCCACUCGUGGCUUGUGCCUUGCCAUGGCGAGUGGGUUUUAUACCAAAUCAGGCAUCAAGGUGUGUGUCUUGUCUCAAAUGUUGAAACCUAAAAACAAUUCUAUUCUCCCUCAAAUCUGUGUACACAAAUGCAUAAUAUUACAUUCACAUUUCUUACAGGGAACAAUGUAAAAAAAACAAAUUCAUAAAUUAUUGCCAUCACAUCAGGCUACAGUAGAGUAGAAAAACUUUAUUGUCGAUACAUGUGGAAAUUUUUAAUGCAAAUCUUUCUUCAGGCUUCUCUGUCCAGUUUGUUUCCAGUCAGUCGGUAGAAGUUUGGUAGAAGUCUGCAUUUCUAAAAUGUUGCGGUUUUGGUAGACCUUUUCUUGUGCAGCAAAAUCAGAAUCCUGACAUGCAAAAUGUUCUGAGAAAAUAUUGCAAAAUAGUGAUGGUAAUCUGAGAAAAAUAACAAGUCAAUGACCAUAACAUUAACUCGGAAUGACUUAAAAAAAGAUUUCAUAACAAUCUGGCAUAAUGCAUUAGGAUUUUGUAACAACACAUCCAUAAACAGUAGCCUAAACAUGGACUUGAUGGACUUGGAUAAGUGCAUGUAUCAUAUUAAAAUGUUAAUGAAAGAUUGAAGAUCUUUAGUGGGGGCACACCUUUACGGAAACAGCAGAUGUGAUAGUCAUCUAUUCCUAUAAAAGGGUGUAUAGUUUAUGUGAAUAGUGUAAACCCCACAGCCAGUCUCUAUCAAAAACAAUGACUUUGACAGCAUUGCAAAACCUGUACCUCAUGAGUGAUAAGUUUGACACAUGCUGAAUUACGUCCGUUCAGUAUUUGUCACGCCAAUGAGUUAACAUUACUAAAGACCUUUGAAUCGACUGCAUUUCACAAUUAGGAAAUAGCAUGCUAGGUAGCUAAAUCUUGUCUCAUUUGUGGUCUGGUAAACAGCAAAUUCAUCAAAUUCAGUGCCCCAUAUUGCUAUUUUCCAAGCUACACAUAGCCUCUGUGCUUGACUCAAACUGUUAACUCAUAGCCCUUCAGAAUGAACAUUUCCCAUUACUCAACACCAGACACCCACUGAAAUUAGGAUGUUAGGAAAUUAGGAAAUAGCACGCUAGCUGGCUAAUGCUUGUCUCUUUGUGGUCCGAUAAAUAGUAAAUUCAUAUGCCCGAUAUUGCUGUUUUCCAAGCUACUGUAGCUUUCAUAUGGUGCGGGACCUGCAUGAGUGUGGUUUCUGUGGGAACGCAGCCGUCAAGGGAUCUACGGGUGGGCCUGGAUGUGCACAGGCCCACUUAGAUUGACAGCUUGUCCACUCUGUUAGAUUUAUGAAAACUUAGUCACUCAGUCACUUAAGAGAAGAAGUUUGCAUGAAUCUGAUAGGGUGGACAAGAUGUCAAUCUGUCAGUCAUGGUGACCCACCCUAUCAAGAUUAAUGAAUACUUCCUCUCUUAUGUGACUGACAUUACAGUGCAUCACACACACGCUGUCAGAAGGCGGUUUCGUGAAGCUAGCAGCUAGAUGAAAUUUGGAAACUAAACAGCUAUCAUUGAAUCUAAACUACAUCUAAACUGGGUCGGAAAAACAAUAGAUGGGACCAACGGAGAGGAUUCAAGAUGGCAGAGUGAGUGGCAACACCUUUGCAGGCUACGGUUAAAAGUUUUUUGUUUGUCGAACCCCCCCAAAAAAAGAAAGUGCAAAGUGACAAAAUGGAAGAUGAAAAUACCAGUGCUGCAAUGCCCCACGCAGUGCAAACUUUACCCCAAAAGAUGAAUGAACAGACUGAACUUUUAAAAAGUCUUGAAAAAUGCAUUGAAGCCAAUACACAGCAGUUAAAGAAAACAAGGAGGAAAUUGUUGUGCUUCAGAAAAAAAAUUGGUGAUCUUCAGAAAGAAAACAACUCGCUAAGAGAUUCAUGUGCGGAGCAAUCCCACUACAAAAGAAGAUGGAAUUUGAGGCUGAAUGGUCUUCCAGAAAAAGAUGGAGAGGACACAAGAGAAAUUGUCAUUGGGAUACUCGCAAGAAUCGUACUACUGUCUGUGGGGCAGCUGCAAGAGACAGUGGAUACCAUCCACCGCCUGGGAAGAAAGGGCAACCUCAAACAACACACCGAGGAUAAUUAUAAUCCAAUUGGGGAUGAGAAUUGUUCGGGAUGACAUCUGGAAAAGAUCAAGAGAUGCAAGAGUUUGCAGUGAAAUACACAUACAUUUCAAAGAAGAUUUCUCCAAAGAAGGCCGAGAGGCUCGUAUCAAACUGUGGCUGUUGGUUCAGGAAGCCAGGGGAAAGGGACGGAGAGUGUUCCUGAAGGAAGGAUACGUGUUGAUCGACAACUGAAGAGUUGACACUGAAUAAACAAGCGUUUUUAGGUUUCCUUUGUUCUAAACAGGCGGCUCCUCUUGAUGGUGGAACAGCUGUCAGUCAAGUUUAGGGGGCAGAUCCUGUGGGCCAUCAUCCCACCGCCCGACUCUACUAUGCAGACUCUGGUUGACAUCACACAGGCACGAUGGUAGCCACCUGGAAAUUAGAGAAAGCAAGAGAUGGGGUGUGGCAUUGGGUCUUACUGUCAGAACUGCCCUGCUGGCUGUCCGACUGAGGCAGAAAUAUGAAUUUUCAGCCGAGGAUCACUUUGUUUCCGUUGCCCGUGCCGCAGACAUACAUGGAGGAGAGGACUGGAUUUGAGGAGAUACUGACGGGGGUGCACAGCUGCAACAGUCCCCUCCAUCUCCACACCAGGACUAAUGCCCCCCUCUUUCUUUCUCUCUCGCUCCCUCUCUCCCUGUGUGUGUUUGACUCUCUCCCUCUGCCGCACUCUCUCUGCUUUCUGCCUCUCCGAGGGGUGGGGGUGCCAUAUGGGAGCUCAGAAAAAUGGAAGUGGAUCGGAGAUAGACAAGAGAGGAAUCUUUCAUUCUUGAGCUCGGAUGUCGGGAUCUAUGUGAGAGGCGAACUAAGAAUUGACCACGGCCAGCAAAACCCCCUUGUGUAAGACACAUCCAUGAAGGGAGCCGUGGCAGUUGUCUGUCUUUCUCCCUGCUCUCACAGGUAAGACAAAUCACAACUUACAUUUGCAACACAACAACAAAGUCCAAAACUUCUUGUUUUUCCUGCGUGCUCCAUUUUGUUAGCAGGAGAGUAUUUGGGUGUAUGACUGCCUUGUUUUGCUUGCGCACUUGCGGUAGACGAGUGAGUCAGUAAAAGUGUCAGACUGCUGUAACAGACGGUCUGCGUGAGAUAAUUAGCCUGGAGUCAUUUGGAAGCUGCUCAGCUCUGCCCAGGUGCCCACUGUGCACAGAAAGAGACCAGACGACCUUUUACUCAGCUCCGUCCCACUGCAGUCACUUAAAACAGUGAUGGAUGUUUCCCUUAACACCCUGCUCCCCUCCACCCCUCGUUCUCCUUUUCUCCCCACCCUCCCUCUCUCUCUCUCUCUCUCUCUGCCCCUCA